RNAcentral lists this ribosomal RNA (253 nucleotides) under uncultured bacterium. RNAcentral's name for it is "partial 16S ribosomal RNA". It matches the Rfam family "Bacterial small subunit ribosomal RNA", at positions 524 to 776 of the family's 1533-position model. The record is from RNAcentral.
UACGGGGGGGGCAAGCGUUGUUCGGAAUUACUGGGCGUAAAGGGCUCGUAGGCGGCCAACUAAGUCGGAUGUGAAAUCCCCAGGCUUAACCUGGGAACUGCAUCCGAUACUGGAUGGCUUGAAUCCGGGAGAGGGAUGCAGAAUUCCAGGUGUAGCGGUGAAAUGCGUAGAUAUCUGGAGGAAUACCAGUGGCGAAGGCGGCUUUCUGGUCUGUAACUGACGCUGAGGCGCGAAAGCGUGGGGAGCAAACAGG